Molecule: unclassified non-coding RNA, 494 nt
Filed under: Hevea brasiliensis (rubber tree)
Lineage: Eukaryota; Viridiplantae; Streptophyta; Magnoliopsida; Malpighiales; Euphorbiaceae
Source: RNAcentral
AUUUUGUUCUAGUCCACGGGGCCGGCCAUGGGGCAUGGAGUUGGUACAAGCUCAAGCCACUGCUAGAGACCACCGGCCACCAGGUCACGGCACUCGACUUGGCGGCUUCCGGCAUCCACAUGAAGCCAAUCCAAGAAGUUCACACACUUUCUGAAUACACUCAGCCUCUGUUAGAGUUGUUGGCUUCUCUGCCACCAAAUGAAAGGGUUACCCUUGUUGGGCACAGCCUUGGAGGCCUGAAUUUGGCUCUUGCGAUGGAGAAAUUCCCUGAGAAAAUUUCUGUUGCUGUUUACUUAACAGCUUUCAUGCCGGAUACUGUCCACCAGCCAUCAUAUAUCUUGGAUCAGUACAACGAAAGGACCCCAAGCGAAGCAUGGCUGGACACGGAAUUUUUACCCUACAGCACCUCUCUUCAGCAUCAAACUUCAAUGUUUUUUGGCCCAAAAUUCAUAUCCUCCAAGCUCUAUCAUCUAAGUCCCAUUGAGGAUCUUGAA